Molecule: long non-coding RNA, 748 nt
Filed under: Vulpes vulpes (red fox)
Lineage: Eukaryota; Metazoa; Chordata; Mammalia; Carnivora; Canidae
Description: lncRNA (ENSVVUG00000010786.1)
Source: RNAcentral
GGAACCUUAGAUUUAAGAAACAAAGAUGAGGAUGGGGUACUUGGGAUGCUCAGUUAGUUAAGUGUCUGACUCGAUUUCAGCUCAGGUCAUGAUUUCAGGGUCUUGAGAUCCUGAGGCUCGCCUGGGUCGGGCUUGCGCUCAGUGGGGAGCCUGCUUGAGAGUCUCUCUCUCCCUCUUCUUCUCCCUCUGCCCCUCCCACCUCCACCUCCUCCUGCUUUUGCUCUCUCACUGAAAGAAGAAGAAGAAGAAGAAGAAGAAGAAGAAGAAGAAGAAGAAGAAGAAGAAGAAGAAGAAGAAGAAGAAGAAAGUGGAAUCUAGUAUGCAAAACCUUGUGUCUUUCAUGCAAGAAGACGAUUACCAGUGAUUAGAAUCAUAGUUAAAAAUAUUCCUAUUACGGGGAUCCCUGGGUGGCGCAGCAGUUUGGCACCUGCCUUUGGCCCAGGGCGCGAUCCUGGAGACCUGGGAUCGAAUGCCGCGUCGGGCUCCCAGUGCAUGGAGCCUGCUUCUCCCUCUGCUUGUGUAUCUCCCUCUCUCUCUCUGUGUGUGACUAUCAUAAAUAAAUAAAAAUUUAAAAAAAUAUUCCUAUUAAAAAUACAUAGAAAUCAUAACUAUUGUCUUAUUGCCUCAAGAAAAUGAGAUUAAAGAUGGCUCUUCUUUACUAGGAUAUAAUUCCGUGUCAUAACUCUAUAUCGGGACAUAACUGACGUGUUUAGAUUCAGGGUGUAAUGGGGAUGCAAGAUAUGAAUCC